Molecule: ribosomal RNA, 443 nt
Filed under: uncultured bacterium
Lineage: Bacteria
Description: bacterial SSU rRNA
Rfam family: Bacterial small subunit ribosomal RNA
Source: RNAcentral
GAAUUCACUAGUGAUUCAGGCCUAACACAUGCAAGUCGAACGGCAGCACGGGUGCUUGCACCUGGUGGCGAGUGGCGAACGGGUGAGUAAUAUAUCGGAACGUACCUUAUCGUGGGGGAUAACGCAGCGAAAGCUGUGCUAAUACCGCAUAAGCCCUAAGGGGGAAAGCAGGGGACCGUAAGGCCUUGCGCGAUUAGAGCGGCCGAUACCUGAUUAGCUAGUUGGUGAGGUAAAGGCUCACCAAGGCAACGAUCAGUAGCUGGUCUGAGAGGACGAUCAGCCACACUGGGACUGAGACACGGCCCAGACUCCUACGGGAGGCAGCAGUGGGGAAUUUUGGACAAUGGGGGCAACCCUGAUCCAGCAAGGCCGCGUGAGUGAAGAAGGCCUUCGGGUUGUAAAUCUAAUAGGGUCAGGGAAGAAACAGCAGCUCUAAUACAGUA